GUCCUUUUACAGUUCGUAACUAUGAUCAUUGGGUUUUCACAAUUGUGAGAUGUACCUCCCUUAAAUCUUAUGAUGUCAAUGCAUUUCCUGUCUAAUA
This is a small nucleolar RNA of Otolemur garnettii (small-eared galago), 97 nucleotides long. The record is from Ensembl. NCBI's taxonomy places the organism in Eukaryota, Metazoa, Chordata, Mammalia, Primates, Galagidae.